CAGCCUGUCAUGCAGCAGCUACUAGCCUGGCACCAUGAUUGAUACCGGGCACAAGGAAUUCUGGUCACCCUUUUUGAAGACUGAGCCUGCCUGGCCCCCCACCAUCCCACCAGAAGGAUGGAAACACACUUCAUUAUCAUGUACAACUCUUUUCAUAUUGUGUGUAAAUGUGCACACGCACACACAUGCACACACACAUACACAUCCUAGUCGUUUAAAAGUACGACCUUCACAUUCAUUAAGGCUAUUUAAGGGGUAUAUUUUAAAUGAAAUGCUAUAUAAUAUUCAAAAUUACCAGAGUAAUGAGUUAACAGGAAAAUUGUCUUUGCAGAAAAACUAUGACUGUGAUUUUCCAAAAUAGGAUUAGAUUGUUCAUGUGUAUUAACCAAAAAUAAAUUCUACUGCUUUGCAGUAGAAACCGCACAACCAGUUUCCAAAAACAGAAAUGCAGGGGCCUGGCAUCUGUGUCUGCACACACAGCAAGUUAGCUCAGAGAUGGGCUGGACCUGCGGCCAGCCACAGAACAGAACCCUCACACGCAGUACUGCAGGCCCCGUCCAGCCACCCCAUGCUGAUUUGCCUGUAGACAUCUCUCGCUCGGAGCUGGUGGACAUUCUCCAGUAAUACAGCACUUAAUUUAAUAAAGGAACUCACCACCUUCAAAUUGCAAUAAAUUUACCAAACAUGUUCACUGUUUAUGGAGAGGUUUACAGUAAGAAAGGGUCGACAGAAGCAGGCACAUCCGUGUACAGAGUGUUCUGUUGGGUGGAUUUUCACUUCCUCCAGCCCCAUAUAUCGGCUGCUUUCAUCCCUGUCCUCCCAGCCUAGGUCCUCGCAGGAAGUCACCCACGCUGGAAGUCACCCUCGCUGGCCGCUCUGUUUUUACCUCUGUUUUUACCGGGCACCUUCGAGCACUGCCCCAGGGAACCAAGGACUCCGCCAAGGUGAAAAGCAGUCGGAGAGCCGACCCAGAACAUGGGUUGUAAACUUUGAAUGGAAUCCGGAUACCAACCACACAGAGGAGAAACGGCGGCGCGGGCCCCUGGCGGCGCGCAGCGCUUAGCAGGCCCGGCCCGACUCCCAGGGGCGCGCGGCCUCGAUGGGAGGCCGGCAGCAGUACGGGUCCCUAAGGCCCUGCGUCCCUGUACCCAGGGUGACCACGGUGACCACAGGGUCUGUCUGCAUGUUCUUCAUUCUCCCGGAGCUCAUGAAAUCAGACAUGGACCGUUCCCUGCAGUGCCUUUCUUCAUGGCAGAUGUGACAGUUCCUCCAUCCUGUGAGCAGCUGUCCUCGCUGGGUGACAGCACAGGGCUGUGCAAGCCUCCCUGGAGCGUGUCACAGAGGUACUCAGAGACGCCCCGGUGUUCUGUUGCAGUUGGGAGUUAUUCUCAGUGCGACGGGGAAACCGGGUUCCAAGCUUGA
RNAcentral lists this long non-coding RNA (1422 nucleotides) under Chinchilla lanigera (long-tailed chinchilla). RNAcentral describes it as "lncRNA (ENSCLAG00000022288.1)". Lineage: Eukaryota; Metazoa; Chordata; Mammalia; Rodentia; Chinchillidae. The record is from RNAcentral.